Molecule: ribosomal RNA, 489 nt
Filed under: Megistops vandepolli
Lineage: Eukaryota; Metazoa; Arthropoda; Insecta; Coleoptera; Chrysomelidae
Description: eukaryotic LSU rRNA
Source: RNAcentral
MAAGAGUACGUAGAAACCGUUCAGGGGUAAACCUGAGAAACCCGAAAGGUCGAAAGGGGAAAUUCAUUCGCGUUUCGGUCAUUGGAGUUGGAUGUUAGCAUGACGGUUGAUACGUUUACGUGUCGAUUGCAUCUUUCGUUCAUCUAACYAAUGUCGAACGUGUGCACUUUUCCUCUAGUAGGACGUCGCGAUUCGUUGGGUGUCUGUCUAAGACUUGGGGUGGAGUUCGUAUGAUACAAUUUAUUUGUAUYAUACGAACACUCAAUGUGCCGACAGACUCGCUCGACGGUAUGCUAAUGGCGCGGGGCCGCUACUCAGUUAGCGUUCGGACCGUAGCAAGCACGUUCUGUGUUUGAUGGCAAUCGGACCUAGUGCCGAUUCUGUCCCAGAAUGACUGUUGGUUGCGGUUUUUAUAGAACUGACCUCAUUGAAACGCCGAUCAGCGACGCUAUAGCUUUGGGUACUUUCAGGACCCGUCUUGAAACACGG